UCUGAUUUAGCUGAACUCCAAAGGGAAUUGGAGUUUCCUUCAUUAAACAGUCCAAAAUCACAUGACACAAUUUCACAAACAGUAUCAUCCUCACUCAUUCAUCUUAUACAACAAUUAGAUGUAAGCCUUAUAUCUGAGGCUAUUGUAUAAACAGCGUUAUGGUAAUGUGGCCGUAUUGCCUCUCAUGAGUUUCACAAAAUUGUACCAAACGGACCAGUUCGUUGCUGGAUUCUUCACCGAUCUUUUAUACGUUCUCCAGAACAUAAAUACUGUUUGGACCUCCAGUUCUGUGAGGUGGAAGAAAUUCCUUUGUUCUCUCUAUGAAAACUCACUCUCUCUCUAUACUGUGGCCAUGAGGAGAUAAUCUUCUCCAGGAAUUUACGACCUGAGGUUGCAGCAGCCUGAGUGUAGGAGACAGAGAGAGGGGGAUGGUGCUCGCUGUAACCAAAGAGGGCAACGUCAUGACAGAGUUGAAACCGGGAUUCAUACUUGAAGAGCAUACUUCUCCAGCGUGCCAGUGGCCAUCGAAGUUUCAUCAGCUGUCCGAGUGGCUGGUCUCAGACGAUCCUGGAGGUGAUGAAGUCCGUUGUGGAGGUCCUGGGCUGGUGUGGUUACAUGUGGUCUGCGGUUUUGAGGCCGGUUGGACGUACUGCCAAAUUCCUUAAAACGUUGGAGGGGCCCUAUGGUAAAGAAAUUAACAUUCAAUUCACUGGCAACAGCUCUGGUGGACAUUCCUGCAGUCAGCAUGCCAAUUGCACGCUCCCUCAAAACUUGAGACAUCUGUAGCAUUGUGUUGUGUGACAAAACUGCACAUUUUAGAGUGGCCCAGCAUAAGGUGCACCUGUGUAAUGAUCAUGCUGUUUAAUCACCUUCUUGAUAUGCCACACCUGUCAGGUGGAUGAAUUAUACUGGCAAAGGAGAAAUUCUCACUAAGAGGGAUGUAAACACAUUUGUGCACAACAUUCAAGAUAAAUAAGAUUUUUGUGCGUAUGGAACAUUUCUGCGAUCUUUUAUUUCAGCUUAUGAAACAUGGGACCAACACUUUACGUGUUGCGUUUAUAUUUUUGUUCAGUGUAUUAUGUAGGCCUACCUGUUUGAGCUCCUGUUAGACAGAUUCAAUUUAAUUUCUCAAGAGGAGGCUGUACAGUCUUUCCCUCUACCUGUGUCUGUUCAGAUAGGACAUGUUUUAAGCAUGAUACAGAGGCUAUUUCUUUUGGGCAAUUCUUGCGUAUAUUUGCUAAAGCUACUUGUAUUUUUCAUACGAUAUUGUGCUUUCACCACUGGAUAACCAAGAUCUAUAAAUAAAUGUACACUCUGAGCACGUCAUCUUGCCUUGCCUUCUGCUGAUUUCAUGGCCUUAUGACUGAUACAAGGUCCCUAUUUUACAUUUACACAAAAUAAUGAAAAGGGCUGUCUGGUAGACUCAAUAAAUCGCCAAAAUAAUGAAAAGGGCUGUCUGGUAGACUCAAUAAAUCGCCAAAAUAAUGAAAAGGGCUGUCUAGUAGACUCAAUAAAU
This is a long non-coding RNA of Oncorhynchus tshawytscha (Chinook salmon), 1516 nucleotides long. The record is from Ensembl. Lineage: Eukaryota; Metazoa; Chordata; Actinopteri; Salmoniformes; Salmonidae.